GACGAACGCUGGCGGCGUGCCUAAUACAUGCAAGUAGAACGCUGAAGGAGGAGCUUGCUUCUCUGGAUGAGUUGCGAACGGGUGAGUAACGCGUAGGUAACCUGCCUGGUAGCGGGGGAUAACUAUUGGAAACGAUAGCUAAUACCGCAUAAGAGUAGAUGUUGCAUGACAUUUGCUUAAAAGGUGCAAUUGCAUCACUACCAGAUGGACCUGCGUUGUAUUAGCUAGUUGGUGGGGUAACGGCUUACCAAGGCGACGAUACAUAGCCGACCUGAGAGGGGGAGCGGCCACACUGGGACGGGGACACGGCCCAGACUCCUACGGGAGGCAGCAGUAGGGAAUCUUCGGCAAUGGACGGAAGUCUGACCGAGCAACGCCGCGUGAGUGAAGAAGGUUUUCGGAUCGUAAAGCUCUGUUGUAAGAGAAGAACGAGGGUGAGAGUGGAAAGUUCACACUGUGACGGUAUCUUACCAGAAAGAGACGGCUAACUACGUG
Molecule: ribosomal RNA, 495 nt
Filed under: uncultured bacterium
Lineage: Bacteria
Description: partial 16S ribosomal RNA
Rfam family: Bacterial small subunit ribosomal RNA
Source: RNAcentral